UAAAUACCAAGUAAGUUAGGUGCCUUAGUUGAGGAGAAUAGGGAAUCAGGUGUAAGUCCUGAACGAUCCCGUCACUGUGAUUGGUAUUUUAGAACCAGCUGCCACCUAUUUUUUCUAAAAAAUAGGGAAGACAGCUGGUGGUUAAUCCAGCCAUCAGUCAGGAGACCUGCCUAACUUAUCGGCUUUCU
This 188-nucleotide non-coding RNA is filed under the name Acetohalobium arabaticum. RNAcentral also lists the same sequence under 1 other name. The record is from RNAcentral. Lineage: Bacteria; Bacillati; Bacillota; Clostridia; Halanaerobiales; Halobacteroidaceae.